AGCUGAUGAUGAAAAAAA
RNAcentral lists this small nuclear RNA (18 nucleotides) under Arabidopsis thaliana (thale cress). RNAcentral's name for it is "snRNA_11049". The record is from RNAcentral. Lineage: Eukaryota; Viridiplantae; Streptophyta; Magnoliopsida; Brassicales; Brassicaceae.